AAAGGGGAGGGGGCUGCGAGGGAGCAAGAAGAGAGCUUGGAGACUGGAAUUUUCCAGGCUCUGAGCUCACGCUGUAUGCUUCCUCUGUGAUAAGUCGCCGAGUAGAAAUGCGGGUCUUUGUCCGCAAUAGCGUGGUCACUCUUCCUUCCUGGGUGAGCCUCUCUCAUAGAGGUGAUGCACGCACAGCAGUCAGCCCGGUGCCAAAUCUCCUAAGAGCCAGGGGAGGAUGGCAGCUAUUGGAUCUAGAAUAGACUAUGGAUGAAGAGAACUAGAAUGACUUAAGAUUGAUCCAGAUGGUGGGAGAUGCUCAAAACUUUGGUGAGAACAAGAAGGAAAGCACAGAGAGGAGGCAUACUCUAACUGAAGCUGGUGCACUCUGAAGACAAGAGUCACAGUGUGAGCAUAGCGCCCACCCUGCCAAGUGCUCUCCUGAUUCAUGAGUAAAAUGCCCAACUAAGCCCAAGAGCUAUGAACUGAACCAUCAAUCAAAGGGACUUAAUGGUUUUCUUGGAAGCAGCUCAGCAUAGCCAAUGACGUUGAGACACCCAUUUCCAAUAUAUUAAAA
Molecule: long non-coding RNA, 565 nt
Filed under: Rhinopithecus bieti (black snub-nosed monkey)
Lineage: Eukaryota; Metazoa; Chordata; Mammalia; Primates; Cercopithecidae
Description: lncRNA (ENSRBIG00000045141.1)
Source: RNAcentral